This 429-nucleotide ribosomal RNA is filed under the name Chloroflexota bacterium. RNAcentral's name for it is "Chloroflexi bacterium partial 16S ribosomal RNA". It matches the Rfam family "Bacterial small subunit ribosomal RNA", at positions 355 to 776 of the family's 1533-position model. The record is from RNAcentral. Lineage: Bacteria; Bacillati; Chloroflexota.
UGGGGAUUAUUGCACAAUGGGCGCAAGCCUGAUGCAGCCAUGCCGCGUGUAUGAAGAAGGCCUUCGGGUUGUAAAGUACUUUCAGUCGGGAGGAAGGUGGUAAGGUUAAUAACCUUAUCAAUUGACGUUACCGACAGAAGAAGCACCGGCUAACUCCGUGCCAGCAGCCGCGGUAAUACGGAGGGUGCAAGCGUUAAUCGGAAUUACUGGGCGUAAAGCGCACGCAGGCGGUUGAUUGAGUCAGAUGUGAAAUCCCCGGGCUUAACCCGGGAAUUGCAUCUGAUACUGGUCAGCUAGAGUCUUGUAGAGGGGGGUAGAAUUCCAUGUGUAGCGGUGAAAUGCGUAGGGAUGUGGAGGAAUACCGGUGGCGAAGGCGGCCCCCUGGACAAAGACUGACGCUCAGGUGCGAAAGCGUGGGGAGCAAACAGG